Oncorhynchus keta (chum salmon) is the source of this 922-nucleotide long non-coding RNA. RefSeq lists it as uncharacterized. NCBI's taxonomy places the organism in Eukaryota, Metazoa, Chordata, Actinopteri, Salmoniformes, Salmonidae. The transcript is spliced from 9 exons. The record is from RefSeq and is a predicted model, not a curated record.
UGUUAGUCUGGUGUGGGACUAGAGGUGUUAGUCUGGUGUGGGACAAGAGGUGUUACAGUCUGGUGUGGGACUAGAGGUGUUAGUCUGGUGUGGGACUAGAGGAGGUGUUAGUCUGGUGUGGGACUAGAGGAGGUGUUAGUCUGGUGUGGGACUAGAGGAGGUGUUAGUCUGGUGUGGGACUAGAGGAGGUGUUAGUCUGGUGUGGGACUAGAGGAGGUGUUAGUCUGGUGUGGGACUAGAGGAGGUGUUAGUCUGGUGUGGGACUAGAGGAGGUGUUAGUCUGGUGUGGGACUAGAGGAGGUGUUAGUCUGGUGUGGGACUAGAGGAGGUGUGGGACUAGAGGAGGUGUGGGACUAGAGGAGGUGUGGGACUAGAGGAGGUGUGGGACUAGAGGAGGUGUUAGUCUGGUGUGGGACUAGAGGAGGUGUUAGUCUGGUGUGGGACUAGAGGAGGUGUUAGUCUGGUGUGGGACUAGAGGAGGUGUUAGUCUGGUGUGGGACUAGAGGAGGUGUUAGUCUGGUGUGGGACUAGAGGAGGUGUUAGUCUGGUGUGGGACUAGAGGAGGUGUGGGACUAGAGGAGGUGUUAGUCUGGUGUGGGACUAGAGGAGGUGUUAGUCUGGUGUGGGACUAGAGGUGUUACAGUCUGGUGUGGGACUAGAGGUGUUACAGUCUGGUGUGGGACUAGAGGUGUUAGUCUGGUGUGGGACUAGAGGAGGUGUUAGUCUGGUGUGGGACUAGAGGAGGUGUGGGACUAGAGGAGGUGUUAGUCUGGUGUGGGACUAGAGGAGGUGUGGGACUGCAACAUGAUGAGAUAUACCCAUGUCUAAAUGAUCUAAUAGUGAGAGAGUCAUCAUUAAAGGAUGUGUUGGAGGAUGUGGUCCACAGCUUGAGUGAAGCUGUCACAGGUCAGGUAUGGUGGAG